This 135-nucleotide small nuclear RNA is filed under the name Octodon degus (degu). Its description in RNAcentral is "U1 spliceosomal RNA (ENSODEG00000020979.1)". It matches the Rfam family "U1 spliceosomal RNA". Rfam says of the family: U1 is a small nuclear RNA (snRNA) component of the spliceosome (involved in pre-mRNA splicing). Its 5' end forms complementary base pairs with the 5' splice junction, thus defining the 5' donor site of an intron. There are significant differences in sequence and secondary structure between metazoan and yeast U1 snRNAs, the latter being much longer (568 nucleotides as compared to 164 nucleotides in human). Lineage: Eukaryota; Metazoa; Chordata; Mammalia; Rodentia; Octodontidae. The record is from RNAcentral.
AUACUUACCUGGCAGGGGAGACACGAUGAUCAUGAAGGUGGUUUUCCCAUUCGACUGACCCCUGUGAUUUCAUCAAGUGCAGGAAACUUGACUGCAUAAUUUGAGGUAGUGAGGGGCUGCAUUCGCACUUUCUUC